RNAcentral lists this ribosomal RNA (253 nucleotides) under uncultured bacterium. RNAcentral's name for it is "partial 16S ribosomal RNA". It matches the Rfam family "Bacterial small subunit ribosomal RNA", at positions 524 to 776 of the family's 1533-position model. The record is from RNAcentral.
UACAGUGGGAGCGAACGUUACUCGGAAUCACUGGGCAUAAAGGGCGCGUAGGCGGUCCUGUAAGUCGGAUGUGAAAGACCUUGGCUCAACCAAGGAACGGCAUCCGAUACUGCGGGGCUUGAGGCCGAGAGGGGCAAGCGGAACUCCUGGUGGAGCGGUGAAAUGCGUAGAUAUCAGGAGGAACACCGGUGGCGAAGGCGGCUUGCUGGAUCGGUUCUGACGCUGAGGCGCGAAAGCCAGGGGAGCAAACGGG